UAGGGAAUCUUCGGCAAUGGACGAAAGUCUGACCGAGCAACGCCGCGUGAGUGAAGAAGGUUUUCGGAUCGUAACACUCUGUUGUUAGAGAAGAACAAGGACGUUAGUAACUGAACGUCCCCUGACGGUAUCUAACCAGAAAGCCACGGCUAACUACGUGCCAGCAGCUGCGGUAAUACGUAGGUGGCAAGCGUUGUCCGGAUUUAUUGGUCGUAAAGCGAGCGCAGGCGGUUUCUUAAGUCAGAUGUGAAAGCCCCCGGUUCAAACGGGGAGAGUCGUUGGGAACAGGGAGACUUGAGUGCAGAAGAGGAGAGUGGAAUUGCAUGUGUAGCGAUGAAAUGCGUGGAUAUAUGGGGGGAAGCCAGUGGGGAGGGCGGCUGUCUGGUCUGUAACAGACGCUGAGGGUCGAAAGAGUGGGGGGCGAACAGG
RNAcentral lists this ribosomal RNA (429 nucleotides) under Chloroflexota bacterium. Its description in RNAcentral is "Chloroflexi bacterium partial 16S ribosomal RNA". It matches the Rfam family "Bacterial small subunit ribosomal RNA", at positions 355 to 776 of the family's 1533-position model. The record is from RNAcentral. Lineage: Bacteria; Bacillati; Chloroflexota.